UUGGGACACCCUGUACAGUCGCAGUCUUGUGAUCCCGUAGGAUACACAUUUCAGUCUAACGCCCCGAAGGACGUACAUAUCAGUCUGACGCCCCGAGGGACGUACAUAUCAGUCAAGUGUUCUGCAGAACACAUAUCAGUCAAAUGCUCCCGAAGGUGCAAAAUAAAUUGGUGAUCCCGUGGGACACCUACAAGGUAAUCAUCCCAAUACAACCUAACAAUCUAUCCCCUCAUUCCAUUCAACCCAUCCUUCAGAUACUUCAAAACAUAGAGUUCUUUCUCUCAACGUCCUAACAGUCAACUUAUCUCACUUAGGUCAUAUGUCUGUCAAUAACAUACUAAUACAUCAGUCAAUCAAACUAUACAGUCAAUACACCCCUCAGAUCACCAGCACACAGUCAUACUUUAGCGUAACGACACCCAAUCUAAACGACAAUCACAAGAUCGCAUCUGCAUCUCAUACAAGCAUAAUCUACAAUUUUCGUCCUGUCCACAUCCACACACAUAUAUAUAUAUUCCAUGACAAUCACAAUAUGCAUUCCACAUUAAGUCUACUUCAAUUCCUAUGCAUAUGUAUAUAUAUUUUCAGUCAAUCCACAGUGUACAUUCAGCACCGAAUCUACACCCAUACGUGUAUAAACAUAAGUAUCAUCUCAACAUCUUUACUCAGUCAAAGAUAAUCAUUUAGACAUGCAAUUCACAAUCAUAAGUGAGUCCAGUAGAAAAUCCCUUACCUUCAAAUUUGUUAAGCUCCUUAACCACGUUGAAGUCUAUGAAGAACGAACCUAAACAUUAAGACAAUUUCUCAAUAAUUCCCUUCAACGCAUCAGUCAUUUAAAUUCAACCCAAUGUGAAUCUUUUUGCAACUUACCCAAAUCUUCGCGAAAGAAAUCGAGCAGUGGCUUUGCGAAGAGAUGACGUGCGGCGGAAAGACCGUAUACAGAUGGCCGGAGAGUCGCGCGGCAGUGCAGACGACGGAGGAGAAGAAAUCGGCGGCGGCUGGGCUGAAAACAGAGGAGAAAGGAGAGGGGAGACAGCCGGCGGUUACAGGUUCACGCGGCGGCCUUGCUUCGCGAACAGAGAUGGCGGCCGACGGUUGCAGCGACGUCCGGCUGGGUUUGGACGGAACGGAGAGGAAAAGAGAAGAUGGAGAUGGCCGACGGCAGUUGCUGUGCGAACGGAUGGGGCGGCUGACUGCGGUUGGCUGCGGCAGGACGGGAAGAAGAAUAGGGAAAAUGGGUGGGCGGCUGCUAGGGUACCGGAAGGAGAAGAAAAGAAAAAUGAGAGAGGGGUUGUGUGCGCGCGAGAGAGAGAGGUAAAUUUCUUUUUCUUUUCUUUUUAUUUAAAUUAAGUAUAAAUAUAUAUAUAUAUAUAUAAAAUUAAAAACAAAAUAUAUAUAUACAUACCUUUGGGGCAUUACACAAUUUAAAUUAAAUUAAACAUCAAGACCCCUCACGAAGAUGAAUCUCUGUUCAUUUUUCUUUUUAUUAACAAACAAAAGUUUUUAGGUCCACUUCUUUCAACAACAUCCUCAAGGAUCCUUAAUUAUCUCUUUCCAAGUUCAUAACCAAUCUAGUCAUGCAAAGAUUAAGGUUCAUGGCCAAUCAACAAUUAAUCUGUGAUUAAGAUAUUAUGAACGUUAUUCACAUAAAAACAUGAAAAGAUUAAGAGCGAAUAAUCAGAUGCAUUACAAAGAAUAAUUCAUAAACUUUGUCUACAUCUAUCCCUAGAAUUAAGAGUUUAGCUACCCCAUACUUCACAAUCUAAAACACAAAACUCAAUACAAUACCAUAACAAAAAUUCCAGGAGAAGAAAAAGAAAACGAAGAAGAAAAGCUAGUGAUUCGUAUUAUUAUAAUAUUGUGUAUAACAGUAUGUGUUUUUUAAUAUUCCAUGUUUCCAGCUCCAGUGUACCAAAAUAUUAUCACAAACUCCACAAUCCUUCUCUUUCCAAUCCCUAAACUAACCAAUGAAUCAUAUUCGCACGCUUGGUAGCCUUGUUCAAAAUAUUAUAUAUUACAAUUAUAAUAACUUGUAUCCCCCAUUUUCAAGCCUAAAAUGCAAAACCUUUCUUCCAUUCUCUAAGGCAUAUUUCCUCUUCUUUAAUUUUGCAUUCCAAUUUUAAAUUACAAAUUACAAAUUUUAAUCACAAAGGAAAAAAGGAAAAUUAUUACCUUUAGAAAUGGAAGAAAAUGAAUGAGUAACCAUGAAGGAUUUGGAAACGAAUAGAGGUUUAGCGAAAGUGGAAUGCGACAGAAGGACGGUGAACGUGUUUACUCGUUUUCGAACAGAGAAUGUGUUUACGCAUUUCGAACGGUGAACAGACGGACGCAAAUCGACGAAGGUGAAGGGAACGAAAAGAAGACGAACGGUGACGGACAAUGAACGCAAAUGAAUGAAGGUGAACGCUGAUGAACGCGAAGGGAAGUCUUUUUCGGCGAUGAACGCAGAUGAAUGCACAAAUGAAUGCAAAGGGAAGGUUAGGUGAACGACACUUUUGAUUUCGGGUGGAGAAGGGACAGAGUCGCGGCGAAUUAGGUUUAAUUAAGAAAAGGGAAAGUGAUCUAAUUGAAACGUUGAGUUUUGUAAAAGAAUAUUAACACAAUAAUUUUUUAGAAAUUUCUUGACGUUUUUAAAACGUCAAAAACAAUUUAAAAUUUCUUGAAGUUUUUAAAAACAUCAAUGAUUUUUUAGAAUUAUCUGGACGUUUUAAAAACGUCAAGAAUUUUUUAUAAAUUUCUUGACGUUUUUAAAAAUGUCAAGAACUUUUUAGAAUUAUCUCGACAUUUUAAAAACGUUAAGAAUUUUUAAUAAAUUACUUGAUGCUUUUAAAACGUCGAGGAAAACUAUAUAUUAUUGACAUUUAAAAAACGUCAAGAAUGUUGAAUUCGGAAAUAUUCUUGGCGAUUUUUAAACGUCAAAAAGCCUGUUUUUGUAGUAGUGUUUUUGGGGACAAGACUGAGUGAGGAGUUGGGAUUAUAAUUGCACAAAAUGGAAUCCACUUAUUUCCUACUUUAGGGUAAGUAGAUGAAUGUUAGCUUAAAUGGUGUCUCCAAAACUUGAACAAAGGGCCCGUACCCUCUCUAUGACAUGAGAGGGGUUUUUGUUUAUUAGUAGGACCAUAAACAAGUUGUUCAUUAGAGGAGCACUGGUUUUUAAGGAUUAGAGGUAACAUAGGGGUAAAGCGGUAAAUUGAUCCAACUAGUGUUACAAACACUCGUGAAGGACUAACUUACUAUUAUUGGUCUAUAUCCGUGGACACAUAAAUAUAUUUUUAGUGAGAAGAGUUCAGUUGUGAGUCUUUAGUGGAGUGUACACACAACUAACGAAUAUUGAUUAAUGUGGUUAAUGAGUUUAGCCAAUUAAUCUUAGAUCGUUGUAGCUUCUGAUAUGUAGGUCCUUUAGGUCCCUUUCCUAGCUCGUAAAGGGUAAUGAGAUUUAUUUAUAUUGGUUGUAAUUUAAAAUGUUUAAAUUUAACUUGGGAAUUAGUAUAAUGUAUAGUGAUACAUUGUAAUAUAAAGUUUAUCAAACUUUACUAUAUAAAUUUAACUUUGGGGAUGAUUCAAAAUUAACUUAUGAGAGUUAAAAUAUUUGAAUGAGUUCAAAUAUUAAUUUAAUGUGAAUUGGAUUCAUAUUAAAAUUAUUGAGAGAAACUUAUAUUUGAAUAUGAUUCAAAUUUAAUUUAAGUUAAAUAUAAGAUAAAUAAUUUAGUGUUAUUAGUUAAUUGGAGAAUUAAUUAAUAGUUUAGUUUAAUAUUAUUUAAUUAAAUUCGAUUUCAUUAAUUAUUAACUAAUUGAUUAAUGUUUAAUUAAUCAGUAGAUUUGAAAUAUAUAUUAAUUUAAUUAUUUGUAAAUUAAUAGAAUCUCAUGGUUCUCUUCUACUUCAUUUUCUAUUCCUAGAAGGAAAGAGAGUUAUAAUAUCUAGAAGAAAACAAUUUUCUUAAAAAAAUGAAUUAAUAAAAAAUGAAAAACUAAGGCUAACGCUAUUGCUCUUUGCAAAAAGAAAAGAGUUUCUCUCAAAUAUCUCUAAACUUUUUCCCAUCCCAAUUGGUUCCACAAACCAAUCUCAUCACAGAGGUACUCUUUGCAAUUUAAGCUCUCUUUGCAAUGGACAGUCUUCAAAGUUUUUUUUAACGAUGUUUCCAAUGCUUUCCUUUCUCUCUCGUGUUUAAUAAAACCAAUUUCUCUUAAAACCUGUAGAGAGGCUACAUGGUAUCCAAUUUCAUACAACUGACGUGUUCAUCGAGUUACAACAAGCUCCGCACAAUAGUUUGUUCCGUGUUUGAAAAGUUGUGAUUGUGACACCUGCACAUGAGGUUAGAAUGAGACAUGGCAAGGCAAGCCCUACGCGCGCCUGCCAACUUCUGCCACAAUAUUUUGUAUGCAAGCUAAUGUCUUUAGGCUGUUUUUGUGGUUUUUGGAAAUUUUAAGCAAAGUUUUGAUAUUUUUAUGAUCAACGGGAAUUAAAUGGAAUUAUUUCCCAUUAUUUUUCAUUAUUUUAGAUUUGAAGGAGAUCGAACAAGUUUAUAAGCCAAGGGUCCAAGCUACUCUCUAUAAAUGACAAAAAUGAGUUUAAACAUGAAUUUACUAUCAAAUGUUUCAAGCAUGCUUUGAUGUUUGAAUAUUUGAGGAUACUGACUUAUAAAGUAUUUCCAAAGCAUGAAUUUAGAAACAUUUUGGUAAACAUGUUUUUAUUCAUGAAUUUACUAAUGAAAAUUAUAAGCAAUCAUGAUUGUGCUAAGUUUUCAAAAUGUUUAAGCUUGAAAAUAAUAUUAGCAUGUUUUAGUCUAUACCUAAAAUAUUCUAAGAUAUAUAGCAACCCUUCGGGAGAGAUUUUCUUGUGCAUAGAGGUCAUUUGAUUUGGAUAUUCAAUAAAUACCUAGCUUUCCAUCAUUGGUAUUAGAUAAGAGAUGAAGACUUCUAAAGAUGCUUAGUUUCCCAUCUCAAGGGACGAGAGCCUGUACGAAUGCCUAGUUUUCCAUCUCAUUGUAGUUAUAACGAGAUAGGGCACAAUUGAUGCCUAGAGUUUCAUCUCGUAAGUAUCGUAUCACGGGAUAGGGCUUCUAUGCCUAGUUUAUUGUUUUUUGUCUCGACGAUGAUAGGUAUAGCAACUGAAAGGGAAAGUUUGAGAUAAGUUGUUUGAGUUUGAUUUCAUUUAUGUUAAGAGUUAAUUGUUAAAUACUUAUUAUUUCAAAACGAUGUUUUAUAAAACAAUCACUCAUUGGGCUAUUUAGCUCACUCUUUGGAUAAAUAUCCCCAUAUGGAUUACGUUGUUUGGAAAAUUAAACUGUGCUUUAGUACUUCAAAGAAAACUUCCCUCUCAUGUCCUCUCACCUCAUGUCUGCCCCAUUUGUGUUGAUAACAUGAAAAAUAUUUAGCACCUUUUAAUUGACUAUGUCUUUGUAUCGAAAUGUUGGUUCCGUCUUCUCCAAACAUUCAAUAUUUGUUGGGUUUUUUUGCUCAAUCAAGGCUUAUUCUUCUUUGUUCUCGACCUGCUACCUAUGGUUUAUGAUUUUGUUUUGGAUAUAUUAUUUUAUCAUUUUGUUUGGUUUUAUAUUUGUGGCUUUUGUUUUGUUUUGUUUUGUUUUUUUUUUUUUUUUUGAAAAGGAGACAACCUCUUUAUUAAUAUUAAAAUAAUAAUAAUAAUUAGACAAAAGCUCAUAGUACAAGAGAGUUAUACAAUGAACAUGUAACCAUGGAUCAGGGGGUGCACCUUGGCAUCUCAACUAGGUUGCCACCCCCAUAGCACCCUCAUCAUAUCCAACCAAGCUAAAACCCAUAACAAAGGAGUAAUGUCCAAAGGCAAAACAAACACAAAAAAAGCCUUCUAUUUGUGGCUUUUGGUUUUGAUCUUGUGUUGUCGCUUUUUGGAUGUGAUGAGGGCGCUAAGGGGGUGUCAACCUAGUUGAGAUGUCCAGGUGCGUCUGUUGAUCCUCCAUCCUAUUGCUCUUUGUAUAAUCCUCAUGACAUUGAGCUUUGUCUCUUCAUAUUUCAAUAUUAAUAAUAGUGAGACUCAUAUCUUUUUUUUUAAAAAAAUAUGGGUUAAUUUGAUAAAAGUGUUGCUAGCAGAGAUUUGGUUUGAGCACAACCAACAUAUUUUCCAUGAUAACAAAAGGGAUUUGCGUGGUGAGAAUAGAUCUAUUAGAUCUCUUGGAGCAAUAAAAAAGAAAUAAGAUCUUUAUGUGAAAGUCGAACUUUUUUUAUGGAGCAUUGUGAAGAAAGGCCUUUACUUUUGGGCAACAUUGGAAUUGGGGCAUGGUUGUGCGCUUAUUAUCAAAAGUUGUCCCCUAACGAUCAAACUGGUUCACUGUUGCGAAAUGGUGGGUUAGUUUAGGACAUGUCAUUAUUCUCGAACCUUCAGAUAAAUGUCCUUAUCUUAGGGAAUUAAAAGUUGUUCAACACAGGCUUGAAACAGACAUGUAUAGGGCUUCUGUAUUUUCCCAUAAGGAGCCAAUGAUUGAUUAUAUAUUGGUCGAUUUUGCAAAGGGAAAGAUUUCCCUAACACGUAUUGUAAAAAAUAUGUAGUUGGCUAGUAGUGAAAAGUUAGCAAGGCUAUUCAUGUUUCUCUUGGUGUUCCCUCUCACUCAUCUUGAAGCUUAUUGUGGGGCAUUUUGUCAACUUACUUUGGGUUUCUUUUGUCUUCUAUUUUAAUUAAUUACUUCGUACUUAUUUUACAUUUUAGUUUUCAUUAGUGCGUCCUGGAUAGAGGAUUUUGUUUAGCUCGUUGUUAUUGUUGAUAAAAUUAAAAUGCCAACGAUUACAAUUCUUGAGAACGGACUCAUCUGUUUCCAAUUCAGAUGCCCAAAACUUGUUGAAUGGAUCCUAUCUCGUUGAUCGCGACAUCUUGCUGGCAAAAGUAUGCUCCUCCGUAAAUGGACUCUAGGUAUUGUCCCUAAAUCCUUUGCUUUUUAUUAUGUUCCUAUAUGGAUUAAACUAGGUAGGAUUCCAAUGGAGUUAUGGACAGAUGUCAGAUUGACUGUUGUGGCUAGUGCUAUAGGCAAACUAUAGUUAUGGACUCUCCUAUGCCUGCUGAAUUUACAAUUCACCUUAGGGGAGAGGAUUUCGUUAUGACUGUGAAUUAUGAGUGGAAGCCUCGAAGGUGUAAUUUGUGCGGUCUUUUGGGCAUUCUAGUGGUAAGUGUCCUAAGAUUGUGGAAAACAAAGUUCAUCAGAGGAGGAUGUGAGCAAGGUGGUUUCAAACAAGAGGAGGAACGGACAAUUGUGUCUUGUGGAUGUGGUGUUAGACUUUAAAUAGUUGGAGGAAAGUAAGACUAAUAGCUCCCCCAUUAGCAUAUUAAGGAAAAGGAGGUAGGUAAUCGGAAUGAAAUUACUCGUUAUUAGGAAGAAAAGAGAGUUGGUUUAUGUUCGAGAGAAGGGUAAACGUGUGGAUGUGAUUAUGCCUAACUCUUUUGGCAGCCUUAUGAAGUUGGGUGAGGGAGACAAGUGGACCUUAUCUAUAGUGGAUGACUCCCCUCCCACCCUACAAGUGGAUGAUACCGCUAUGGUUCUUAGGCGUAUGUUAUUAAUCACCUUAAGAUCAUUUCAAAAUAUAAAUAUAUUUUUAGUAUAAGUCCUCACGUUCGACUCUAGACUCACCAAGAAACCUUAUUUGGAUAUUACGAAUAUGACAAAAUUAGUGAUAUUAGAUGACUAUCAAACGAUAAUCAUAGGGUUAUCAACUUUUAAAUUUACUACUUUUAAAAUUUAGAAAAUGUAGUGACAUGAGUCAUGUGAUUAUAAAUGUUUUUGUUAUUUUUGCAGGGUUCCAAAGAAAAAAGAAAAAAGUAAGAUGUGAUUGAUAAUAUGUGAAAAAAGGAAAAAAAUUAAAGAAACAUAACUCGAUAUAUCUAAUUUGUUUAAAAACGACCCCAUUUGUAAUUUUUCUUUUCAAAAGUCACACAACAUCUUUUUGGAAAGUUUUUUUAGAGAAGCAUGCCAAUACCUUCAUCCUACGUAUGUAGAUGUAUUUAUGAAUAAUUUUUAAAAGUUCAAAACAAUUUUUUUUAACAUUUCAAAGUUUAAGGUUAUUUUUUUACACAAACUACAAAAUUCAAAUUUUUUGUAAUUUAACUAAAUACUGUUGUAUAUAUAUAUAUAUAUAUAUAUAAAUUAGUUAUCUUUUUUAGUCCUAUAUUGUAAAAAAAUAUGAUUAUCGAUUUAUCGAAAUCUAAUUUGUAAAUGGAUUAAAACAUUUAGUUUGUUGAAAAAAAAUGACAAAACAAUGGACCAAUGGACAGCUAAUACGAGUCAGUGAACCGAAUACACAAAAUUCUCUAAAUCCAAUUAAGCAAGAUUUCAAAAAAAAAAAAUUCUAAUAAAAACCCUACAUGUACAGUCUCUCUCAUUUAAAAUUUCUUUAUCCUCUUCUCUAACGGCCAAGUCUCCCUCUCCCUCUCCUCUCCCUCCUCUUCUCUCUUGCUCUCUUGUCUUCUUUGGCCUAUCUCUCAAUUUCCGUUUCUGUAAGGAAGAAACCCUAUCAUACCCAUUUCGCGGAUCCAUCUUCUUCUCUUAAUCUCUCUUCUUCUUAGUGCGUCCUUUCCAUUUCUUCGUACACUCCAGUUUUCCUUUCUCUUCUCAAAAUCCUAAGGCCUAUCUCUGAAUUUCCGUUUCUUUAAGGAAGAAACCCUAUCAUACCCAUUUCACCGAUCCAUCUUCUUCUCUUAGCGCGUCCUUUCCAUUUCUUCUUCUUCUUCUUUGUUCGUACACUCCAUUUUCCCUUUCUCUUCUCAAACCCUAAUUCUCUUUAAUUAAUUAAUUCCCUCUCCUUUCUCUCUCACUUCCUCCCUCUUCCAUUAAUGGCAGGUUCUCCUCAUCUUCCUCCUUUCUCCAGUGUUGAUUCCUCCUCUACUUCGACCUGUGAUGCUCUUUUCUUCUUCCCUCGCAAUUUCGAUUCCACCAUCGUCACCGAUUUUGGUUGCAAUUUCUACUCUCUUCAACCUCAACCUUCUGGAUUCCCUCACUCUCACCGGAUUGACUUCAAUGUCCUUGGAACCUCCACUACUACUACUAGUACUCCACUCAUCAAAGAAUCCGCUGGAUUAUCAGACGCUCCUCUUCCUUUCCUUUCUAAUCCUUGUCUCUCUUCCAACUCCAGUAGUGAGCCCCGAACAAAUCGCAUUACUCCGUGAGUUCCCAAUUAAUUCCAUCUUUAUUUAAUAUUCAUAUGUCCUCUUUCCAUUUGUUUCAAUUAUUGAAUAGAAAGUUAAUUGAAUGAACUAUGUUCCAAUAAUUUCAUGUGGUUCUGGUAAAGCACAGUGCAUCCGGUCGAACUUCCCCCAUUAUGUAAUUUUAUGGAGGUAGUUUUGUAAAUUGGAUUGAAACAGGGGCUAUUCAAUGUGUAUGCAUUAAAAUAUAGGGAUUGUUUUUCAAUUAAAUAUAAAUCGAUUGAGCCUCUGAUGUGCUAGUAAGCAUCAGAUCUCCUCUGUGUAUAUAUAGUUAGGUACUCUUCUUUUUUUUAUAGAUUCCGUCAUAUAUAUCACGGUCUGAAGUUGUAGCUAAACUUGCUUUCAUCUUCAGUUUCUAUCACUAUUUAAAGGUCAGAUUUUGUUCGAUUAGAAGAAUGUAAAUUUGUCAAGGAAAAUAGCAUGCUUAGUUUAAUUGUACUCAAAUAUUGUUACUAAAACAAUUGCUUUAUUUGUGUUGAUACCAUUAUUUGUGUGGUAGAUCUCUUGAUUCAUUUUGAUGUUUGUAUUUUGAAGACAUACAAAGGUCAUAAUACUAGUUGCUAUUCUUUUUAUCUUGGUACGUUUCAUUUUUGUUUUAAUAUUUCACUGUCUCUAUAAUUGAUUGUACAAACAUAUCUCAUCAUUCAAUCACUUUUCAAGUUUUAGAUUUUGAAAUUUGUACAUAUUGGGGUUUUCCUUUUUCUUUAUUUUGGAUUAUUUCAAAUCUCCAAAGAUCUUUCUUGUAACAUUUGCAUAUUUUAGUUUGUUAAAAUCUUCGAAAGUAGAGGAGAAGGCUCCAAAAGCAUUCUGUCUCUCAUUGCCUUGCCCUAACAUUAUCAUCUGUGUAAGAUGUGCCAAUGAGUAGACCAUUUUCUUUUACUUUUUUUUCCAUAGCUUUUGAACCACUUUCCCUUUCUCUCCUUCUCUUUCAUUCUUCUUUUAUGUUAAUUGGAAGAAAGCUUUGAGGCCUCUCUUGAAAAUAAUGAGGUUUUGAAGGGGAUAGAAAGAGAGUGAUGGUGGGAUCCAUCAAAGGUUUGGGAUUUCACACAAUGUUCGCAUCACUCUUUUAAAUGUAAUUAGAGGUUGAGGAGUUGAUCGUCGAUCAUAGAUAAGGAGGGGCUGGUUAGUGGCUUGGAAAAGAGUUCAGACAACAUUAAUUUUUCUAAAAAAUAAAACCAACCUUCCGACGGUUGGUUAACACUCCUCGACAGUCGAGAUAGGGUAAGACUUGUAUUCUGGUUCUGUUGAUACCUAUAUUUGUGCUUCAUCACUUUAUAAUUGUACUUUUAUUUAUCCCCUUUGUAUAUUUCCAUGUGUUUCAUGUUUGUCUUUUAUGUUUCUUCUAUUUAUAUAUUUCUUCAUGUUCUUCUCCAUUCGGGUUUGCUCUUGCGGAGGUUACACAUUCAUUGUUGUGCUGGUACUUUAGUUAAUGAUGUCUAGUAAUUUUUGUUUUGCAAAUUUUCUUGUUAGUGCUCAAGUUUGAUUUCAUACUGCCUUUAGCAUAGCUUUACGACUGCAGAAUUCAAUUGCACGUUGCCCUUUUUUAUUUUGUAUUACUGAUGGACUUAUUUGUGAUACCUUUAAAGAAGAAAAUUUAUGGCUAUUUGUGUUGAAGUUUAUUUGUUGAUUAUUGGUUGGUUUUUUCCCUCCACUUUUCUUAAUAUUUUGAAGUGUGUAAUAAGGUAAGCAAUUUUUUAGUCCCCUAAAUUUGUUUUGUUGAUGAAUUGUUCCCUUUUUUUUCUCGAUUUUGUUUUCAGGUUUUCAUCAUUAUUCAUUUGGUGGCUAAAUAUUACUCAUGGGUAUUUGUUCGAUCUUAUUUUGUUGUGAUCAAUUGAUAUACAUAAUAUGCACUAUAAAUUUGUUAAAUUGUUGUAUUAUUUGCUUUUUUAAUAAGGUUUGAGGAACCUCAAGGUACGUUUUGUUAAAGCAUAUUUUAUAUUGAUAAAUUUGAAGUUGUCAAGUCUAUAACAAUGAUAAUGUUAAUACGAGUAAAUUUAUAGCAAAUUUAGUUGACUUAACUUAUUUACAUGCUGGUUGCUCGGACUCUUGGAAAAACCUUACGUGCAUUUUAACCCAUAAGAGGACUUAAGGUUGUUAUGACUUACAUAUCAGUUUUUGAGAUUUUCCUUUGUAAUUUUUCAUAGACCUUAUUGUAGUUUUUUGUUCUUCAUUUUUGUUUGUAGGACGUUUCUAGAGAAUGCAAGACCAUGUUUGAGUGAGAAAUUGGUCUUGAUGAAAUUGAGAGUUCAAUGAACAGCACACCGUAUCACCCGUAUUUCUAUUUCUAAAGCAGAAGGGCUUUCGGUGGCUGAAACAAGUGAGUGAUUAAGUUUUUUAUCACCCGUAUUAUUUGUUAUCACUAGGGAAAGAAAGCUGAGUAGAAAAAGUAGAAUGCCAAAUGGAAAAAAAAAGAUUAGUAAGCAGCGUUAUUAUUUUAAAAUAGAAAACAAAAAUUAACAUUAUUGUUAAACCGAGCCAUUCUCGAGAAUAUGAAAUAGAAUUGGAUAGCUGCCAUGCAUCGUGUCUAUGAAUGUUAAGAAUGAAACUAUCGGUAGGGUUAUAGAAUAAUCAUUCUAUCAGCCUCAAUUAUGAUACAGGUUUAUGAAAUAGAAUUUUCUUAUGUAUUGUAAUAGUAGAAGAUUCUUCGUCAGGAAGCAAAGCUUAUAGCUUUGAAGAGUAUCUAAAGGUUACAGAAGAGCAACCGAAAGCUUAUGAUCAGCUCCAAACCAAUUUUCCAGCACAAAGCCAGAGUGGAUCCCAAGUACAAGAAGGUUGUUAAAAUCAAAUCUCUUAUGUCUUAUUUCAUAACUAUUUAGUUUUGAUCUUAAGUACAACAAUUUUCAUUUUUUUCUAGGUGAACAUUGUAUGUGCUUAGAAAUUAAGUGUUUUGAAAAUUAGAGGUGAGCAAUCACACUUAGAAACUAAGUGUAGAACCAUAGAAAUGUUACCCCAUCGGUUCUAGCAAUGCCUAGUUACCGCAGUUCAUAACAAAGAAAGAAAAGAGGCUCGUAAAUGCAGACCAUAAAAAAGUGAGACAAUCAACAAUUAUAAAAAAAACAUAUGCAAUAUGCAUUAAAAAAAGCUCAUAAAAAAUACAGAGUCAAGUUGGUUAGGUCAAGUAGAACAUGUUGAGUUCCCUAGCUAUUAGAGCUUUUGGGGGAAAACAUCGCUUUUGGCCUAACCAAAACUAGACCAUAGUGUUUUAAACAUAACGUCAAGUUUGAUUGAGGGCUUUGAAAAGAGGAGGAAUCCUCCUCGAUCCACAGUAGGGCGAAAAUGAGGCUUGUUGUCACUUCGAAGGGAGCAGUCAAACUUAGCAUUGAGUUUGAUUUUUUUUUUGAAAAGGUAAUGAUAAUAUUAUACAACAACAAGGUGGACCUCACAUCCUGAGGUCAAGACAAAAGAGUGAACAACACUCACAGAACAAGUAGUUAGACAAAACAACCCAUAAGUACCCAAAACAACCCCACAUCUUGGGAACAAGAACUAAAACCAAAAGAAACCAACUAGUGUUCCAAACAUUAAAAGGACAAGAAGAAGAGAGAAAGACAACAAAGUUAAUAAAGAGAAGAGAAACCCCAUAACCCGGGGACAAGCAAACGAAAAGAACAUUAAAUAAGACCAUGAACACCAUCCGACCAAGAAGCAGCACGCGCUUUAAUACACGACCAAAUGAGCUGGAAUACAACCAUAGGCUCCCAAAUAGCACCUUCAUGAAGACGAUGAUUUCGCUCCUGCCAAAUGAAAUAAAUUGUAGCACACCAGAGAAGGCGCCACAGUUUUCUCCUCACACUCUUCCCAAUACCCUGAUUAUAAAUCCAAGAUAACUCAACCCCCAAUAACCGAUUCUAUGAGAAGAUGACAUAAGCAAAAGGAUCCUCGACCAAAUCUCCCACCCAAAAUGACAAGAAAAAAACAAAUGAUACGAAUCGCGCAAAAGGUAGAGAACAAGGAAGAUAUAUGUCAGGAAGCAAAUCUUUCUAGAUAUUCUGGAGAAAAGGUGAUAAACUCCCAUAAUAGCACCAAGCCUAAUACCAUUGCGAAUACAGAAGAAAGUAAAGGAGGAAUGAAUUGGCCGAUGAGAACUAUUACUCUACGAGGAACAACAAAAGAGGAAGUACGGAAAGAGGGACAGACGAAGCACUUAUUUGAUGCUGAAUUUCAAUCUAGAAAGAAGGGAUUGUUCUUUCGCUGUAAUGAGAAAUAUUCUCAUGACCACAAAUGCAAGAUGAAAGAGCAAAGGGAAUUGCGAAUGAUUGUUGUGAAGGAAGAAGGCGAGGAGUAUGAAAUUAUUGAAGAAGGAGGAAUUGAUCAGAAAGAAUUGAAUGCCCCUGAGAUCGUAGAGGAGAGUCAAGUGAUGGUGGAAUUAUCCAUUAAUUAUGUGGUGGGAUUAUCCAACCUAGGGAAAAUGAAGGUAAAAGAGAUGAUACAAGGGAAGGUGCCUAUAGUACUAAUUGAUUGUGGAGUCACACGCAAUUUCAUUUCAGAAAAAAAUAGUGAAAGAGUUGCAACUGAGUAUAAGAGAAACGUCGAAUUAUGGAGUUAUUUUGGGCUCGGGCACUGUAGUCAAAGGGAAGGUAAUUUGUGAAGAUGUUGAGUUAAUGCUGGGAGACUAGAAGGUAGUGAAUGAGUUUUUACCCUUGAAGUUGGGAGGGGUAGUUGCCAUACUUGGAAUGCAGUGAUUGUAUUCCUUGGGAACGACUGGAGUGGAUUGGAAGAAUAUGAUGUUAACAUUUACAUAUCAGGGGAAGAAGGUGAUAAUCCAAGGAGAUCCGAGCCUAACCAAGGUCAGGGUCUGUCUUAAGAAGUUUAUGAAAACAUUGGGGGGAAGAAGAUCAAGGCUUUUUAGUAGAGUGCAUAGCCUUAGAGAAAAGUGAAUCCUUAGAAGAAGAGAAUUCGUGGGAGGUCGAAUUAACAGUAGAAGAAUCAAUAGCGAUGAUCCACUGUAGGAGGAAAACUUCGAACUUCGAAACUAAGUGUAGAACCAUAGAAAGGUUACCCCACUCGUUCUAGCAAGGCCUAGUUGCCACCUUUCAUACCAAAGAAAGAAAAAAGAGGCUUGUAAAUUCAAAAUACAAAAAAGUGAGACAAUCAAGAGCUAUAAAAAAACAUUUAAUGGAACAAUUAGUAUUGUUUGCUUUGGAGUAAUACUAUGGUUGUCCAAUUUUGAGUUGAACAUGAAAUUACUUGAUGUAUAUAUACUCGUUCUAAAGUUGGUGUAGAAAAUGGAAUUCGACAAGUUUAGGAAAGGUACCUUAGACCAAAAAAUCAGAGAUUCGAUCUCUAUUCCCAUCUGUUGAAUUAAAAAAGGGUGGUUAAUGCUAUUUGUUGUGGGAAGCAGUUCUUUAACAAAGGUUGUCCAACUUAUGUUUGAACAUAAAAUUAUUUAUUGAUUUAAAUGGUUAAAACAGGAGGAAUGGAUGGGUGACACAAAAGAUCACAAUCCACAUAUCACUUGAAUCAAAAUCUUUUGACAGUUUUGAUUCAAAAAACUUGUUUGUUUGCAAGAUUUACAUAUACUGUUUAGUUUUAGACAAGAUAAAUUGAUACAGUUUUAUUUUGGUACCUUUGCUGUUAGUACUUGCCAAUUAAUAUCCGACUGCAUAAUAUAUAGAUUCUGGCAUCUUGCUUGUCCUUUUGCAGCUGCACUUUGUAUAUAAAUCUUGAACUUCUCUUUCUUAGUUGGCUAUUUUCUGACAAGGAUAUGUUUUUUGUGUAUGCUUGAACUUCUGAAAAUAUCCAUAUUUUUUGUGUAUCAAAGCUGCCUACAAUGAAUGACAAUGUGGAUGUUUAUGUGCUUGAUUAUGCAGUUCCUGUGAACUAACAUAUUGAUAAUUAACUUUUGGUCUAACUGCUUCUAAUGAUAUCUAACAUAUGGAAAUUUAGAUUCUAGUAAUUCAAGUUUUGUGAUCCACAUAAUCCUUGAGUUCUGUCCCCUUGUAUUUUCUUGAAAUGAAAAUUCGAAUCAUGUUUCUAUCUAAAGUUGAAUUGCAUUAUCUUUUUUUUUUUUUGAAAAGUUAAUAUCAUAAUACAACAAGGAUGACCUCACAAGAGCGGACAAUGCUCACAAAAACAGGAAGAAUCCAAAGUAUCAAAAGAAAGAACAAUAAUAAACCCAACAAAAUUAAGAGCAACAAAAACAUAAAAAGUCCAAACAACCCCACAGCCCGAGAACAAGCAGAUAAAACAAAAAUCAAAAGAAAACAAGUUAAAUAAUACCAUGAGCAUCCUCACGCAAAUAAACAACACGAGCACUGAUACAAUAUGGAAUAAGCUGAAACAGAACAAUGAGCUCACGAGCUUGACCACCAUGGAGACAAUGAUUAUGCUCCUUUCACAUAAAAUAAAUCGUAGCACACCAGAGAACAUACCACAACUUCCUUCUCACACCCUUACCAAUACUCUAAUGACAAACCCCAAACAACUCAACCCCCAAUACCCAAUCCUGUGAGAGGAAGCCAUAACCUAAAGGACCCGAGACUAAAUAUCACACCCAAAAGGACAUGAAAAAACAAAUGAUAACGAGACUCUCAAUCCCCACCCCACAAGAAACCUAUCCAACGAACCUUAACACUACGAGGAUGAAUAGUAUCCCAUGCACUAGCAAUCAAAAACCACUAUGACGACCAAGAACCCAAACCCACCUAUCACCAACAUUAGGACACGAACUUACAACUUGAACCCUAUCCGAUAAAUUAAUCAAAUCCAAAGAUACCCUCGACCACCUCCACUCCCCUUUCGAACCAAUAAACUUAGAGAGCCUAGCCUCCUAUCUACUCGUUACAUUAUAAAGCGCUCUCUCACCAACUUGUUGAAGGAUAUGACCACCCUGCAACCACGGAUCCAGGCACAGUUUACAAUGCCUACCAUCCCCAACCUCCAUCUGAACAUGCUCUUUUAGACUAUCUCGUUUACACAUGAUAGCGCAAAGACACCAAGACCGACCAACACAAGAAUCGACCUUGAACAAUGACCUUCCUUUAUGAAUAUAAGCCUCCACCCAAGCAACCCGUAGAAAACUCGAACUAGUCAGCAACAACCAAAGAUUCUUCAUAGUACUCACAACAUUCUAAGAAGGCCCAUCAAGAAUAGCAAGACCACCCUCCUUAAAAGGAACACACCUCAGCCCACGCCACCUUAACACCUCCUCUACCUUCCUCCUUACCCCUCCAAAGAUAAGACCUCAAGAUUUUAUCAACCUCAUGAUGCACACUCACAGGCAACACAAACACGUUAGCCUAGUAAACCUGAAGAUUAUCAAGCACAUAUCGAACCAGUUGCAAUCUACCUGCAAAUGAUAAAACUCUAGCAAACCAAGAAUGAAUCUGACUAGUAAUACGUUGAAUAAGAGAGCACAAUCAGUAGGUCGUAACCUCCAGAAAGUAAAGGAAGCCCAAGAUAACGAACAGGGAGAUGCCUGAGGACAAAACCCAAACUGGUAGUCAAACGAUAAACAUCAUCACUAUUAACCCCUACAACAAACAUAGAAAUUUUACUAAGAUUAGUAAAUAGCCCGAGAGAUCACCAAACUUUCGAAUAGUCUCGUUAAUAAAACUCAGAGAGGAAUCAUCAGCAGUACAAAAAAUCAUAAGAUCAUUAGCAAAGGUCAGAUGAGUUAAGCUAACCUUCUCACAAUGCCUGUGAAACUGAUAGCUCGGAGGAGGCCGAUUGAACAUACGAGAGAGGACCUCCAUCACCAUGAUAAAAAGGAAAGGAGAUAAAGGAUCACCCUACCGCAAACCUUUCCUCCCAUUAAAAAACCCUUGAAAGAGCCAUUAAUCAUAAUGGAGAACAUCGAGGAGGUAACACAAGUUCUAAGGCAAAUCACAAACCUCUUGGACUUCUAACACAUGAAGGCUUCCUCCAAUCUAACAGCCGUCCAAAAGGCCUCAAUGGCAAGACCUGCUUGGCGACUCAAAACAUCAGACAUAGGAUUUUGCCCAACCUUUCUCUGAGGUUAUGUAAAUUUCUCACGAAACUCACAAUCAGAGAAACUCCUACAUGGUGACUCCAAAUCGAAGAGACAAUCAAUAAACAAAGAAUCCUCAACCAAUGGUUGAAGAAACAAAAAGAAACUACCACUGUCUCUGCUAAAAGUUGGGAUAAAAUAAAAGGGGAGUGAUCAGAAAUACCCGAAGGGCAUGCAGUAAUCCAACACCAUUAACCGGAAUACGAUUAAAUCGUUUUAUCAAACCAGACCAUGAACCUUUCUAGUCUAGGUGAACCAGUUACCCUGUACUGUAGGUUCAACUAAAUAAGCCUCGCAAAUAGCCAUAUCGAACUCCUCCAUAUCCAUAGGAACAGAAGACCUAUCAAAAGCCUCAAAAGCAUUUUGAUAGCUUUAAAGUCACCCAUUACAAAACCUGACUAUGUCCAACCAGAAGAGAUAUCACCAUAUGAAAUGACAACAAACAUCUUUCAACAUUAUUAUUAGAGGCAAAAAUACAUAUGUUGGGAUUUUAUGUCCUAAAACUCGUAUUUGUUAUCAUAUUCAGUUCAAUAAAAUCGUUAUUGAAAAAUUUAAAAUUAUAAUCUUAAAUCCAAUAAACUAAGUCUUAAUGCUAUUUUUUAAUACAUUUGAACUUUAUGUCGAGACAUAAACGUGGAUCAAGUUCGAGUGUAUAGCCUAAAUAGUCUAUAGUGCCUUAUUUAGAAAAACUACGGAUGUGACCCGCUUUGUAAUUAGUACAAACGAGGUGAUCCUAAAUUGUUCAUGUAGAGACAUGAAAGUGGGGGCAUCCUAUGUAAAGUACUUACAUAAGACUGAUCCAUGAAAUAGUCACUUUUACGUUAUAACACGUUUACUGUUUAGAACUGACUAUUUCGUUUAUUGAUGACUUAGGUAGCUUAAUCUUAAUCCUAAGCUAACUAUGAACUCCUGUUCACAUGAGAUUAUCCUUACAUUUGCAUAGGUGAGGGUAUCUCAUCAACGUUCUCCCAAUAAGCCUCUCAUUUCAAGGUAAGAUCGGAUGAAUGCGGGAACAUAGGAUCAAGACGAAUUCACUUCUACUGUUUAGGUUAGUAGAUAGGUUGUUCUCUUAAGCACUGUAAAGUACUUACAUAAGACUGAAUUCAGUUCUACUUGUUUUAGGGUUACAUCUGCAUAGGUGAGGGUAUCUCAUCAACGUUCUCCCAAUAAGCCUCCUAUUUCAAGGGUAAGAUCAGAUGAAUGGCUGGGAACAUAGGAUGCAAGACAAAAUUCAUUUCUACUUGUUUUAGGGUUAGUAGAUAGGUUGUUCUCUUAAGCACUGAAUCCAAGUCUUGAACAAGGGGCCCACCCUCACAUUAGCCCGAGAGGAUUAAGUUAUAGGACCUUAAACCAAUUGUUCAAUAGUGGAUCAAUGAGACUUAAGAAAUAAGAUAGUCUCAAGGAUAAAACAGUAAUUUCAUCAUUCGAGGUUACGAAUAACAUGUGAAGGAUUAACUUAUUGAUCAUGGUUAUAUUAAAUGGACAAGAAUAUAUCUAUAGUGAGGGGAGUGCAACUGCGAGACUUUAGUGGAAUGACCCGUUAGUUUACGAAUGUUGAUUAACUCGGUCUAAAAAGAGUUUAACCAGUUAAUCUUGAAUCGUUGGAGCUCAUGAUAAUAGUCCAUUAGGUUUCCCUGCUAGUUCAUAUGAAUAAACUUAGAACAUUGUGAUGGAAUAAGUCGAAUUGUUUGAAUUGAGAGAAAAAGAGAAAAUCGACAGUAAGACCGACAAGGUGCACCUUGAGGACAUGAAAGUCAUGUUAAGAAAGACUGAAAAGAAUUAAAACUUAAUACCUAUACCAACAAUGUGAACCUUUUUUUUCUUCGGUGGCUCGAUUAUAGGGACUUCAGAGUUAAGCGUGCUUAGCUUGAAGAAAUUCUAUGUUGGGUGACCUCUUGGAAAUUUUCCUAGAAUGCAUGUGAGUGAGGAAAGCAUGCUGAAAGAUUUCGUGUUAGUUUGUGAAGAGGAAUUUCAUUCUAAUAAGUUUUUAAGAAUAGUAAGGAUGAUGCUGCCAGGUCGCAGGGGAUGCAGAGAAUGCUGGAAGAUACGAAUUCCAAUCCUAAGUUUAAUGUGUUACAUUUUGGUUUCAAAAACUUUUGGAAUUUUGUGAGAGGUAUAGACGUUCAUAUUCGAAUAGAUACAAAGGUAUAAUAUUUCUAAACCUAAUUCUUUUAAUUUAGGGUUGCAAGUUAAAUAGGUGCAAUUAGGGUAAUUUGUAUUCCAUUUUUCUACUGUGCAUGUCUCUUUCUAACAUAGACUAUGAAGAAACUUUCUCUAUCGUUGCCAUGCUAAAGUCAAUUAGAAUAGUCUUAUGCAUCGCCACGUUUUAUGAUUAUGAAAUUGGCAGAUGGAUGUCAAGACAACUUUUUUUGAAUGACAAUCUUGAAGAGAGUAUCUAUAUUAUCAAUUAGAGGGUUUUAUAGAUCAAGAUCAAGAACGAAAGGUUUGUAAGAUUCAAAAAUCCAUUUAUGGAUUAAAACAAAAUCUAGAUCCUGGAAUAUAGAUUUGAUACUAAUGAUCAAAUCUUAUGGCUUUGAUACAAAAGGUUGACGAACCUUAUGUUUACAAAAAAAGGUCAUCAAUUCCAUUGUAGUAUUCUUAGUCUUGUAUGUAGAUGAUAUUCUACUUAUUGGAAAAGGACAUAGGAUUUCAUACUAAUAUUAAGAAAUGGCUAGCUAUGCAAUUUCAAAUGAAAGUUCUGGAAAUGCACAAUACGUUCUUAAGAUCCAAAUUGUACAGAACUGCAAGAACAAAAACACUAGCCAUGUCUCAAGCAUCUUAUAUAGACAAAAUGUUGUCUAGAUAUAAAAUGUAGAAUUCCAAAAAGGGUAUGCUAUUAUACAUCUACGAAAUUCAUUUGUCAAAGGAACAAUUCCUAAGACACCUCAAGAAUUGAGGAUAUGAGAAAAAUUUUCCUAUGCUUCCGCUGUUGGAAGUUUGAUAUAUGCAAUGUUGUGUACUAGAUUUGACAUAUGCUACUUAGUAGGGAUGGUCAGUAGGUAUCAGUCCAUCUUGGACGUGAUCAUUGGACAACCGUUAAGAAUCUUCUAAAUAUUUUUGAAGAACAAAACACUAAAUUCUCGUGUAUGGUACAAAAAGAUUUGAUCCUUACUGGAUACACUCAUUAUGAUUUUCAAACUGAUAAAGAUGCUAGAAAGUCUACAUCAGGAUUAGUAUUCACUCUAAAUAGAAGAGUAGUAGUUUGGAGAAGCAUAAAACAAACUUGUAGUUGAUUCCACAAUGGAGGUAGAAUACGUAGCAACUUUUGAAGUAACAGCAGAAGCAUUAUGGCUAAGAAAAUUCUUGACAGAUCUGGAAGCGUUCCAAAUAUGCAUCUAUCAAUCACUUUAUACUGUCACAAAAGGUGCAGUUGCAAAUUCAAGAGAACAUAAAAGUCGUAAACGGGGAAAACAUAUCGAACGUAAGUACCAUCUUAUCAGGAAAAUUGUACAUCGUGGUGAUGUUGUAGUAACCCAGAUUUUUUCAGAGAAACUGUGGAUGUCCGUCCGCUUUGUAGUUAGUACAAAUGAGGUGAUUCUGAAUCGUUCCAGUACAUUCAUGAAUGACCCGUUAGUUAACGAAUGUUGAUUAACUCAGUCUAUAAGAAUUUAGUCAAUUAAUCUUGAAUCAUUGGAGUCCAUGAUAUAUAGGUCCAUUAGGUUCCCUUGCUAGCUCAUAUGGAAUAAACUUAAAACAGUGUGAUGGAAUAAGUCGAAUUGUUCGAAUUGGGAGAAGAGAGAGAAACUGACAAGUAUAUGUGUUAUAGCCAUCGAAUUUCAUAUUAGAAAUAGAUCUUUGAGUUGUUGGGCUUUAGUAUUCCAUGGAUGCAAUUUUGUAUGGAAAAUCCUUAUAAAUAGGGUCGUUGACCUCAUUUGAUGGGCUGGCUAUUGAAUUUGGGCUUUGUACCAAAUUGGAUUUCUUUUUCUUAUUUACAUAGAAAAAAAAAUUACCAAGCCCAUUUCUUUUUCCAUCUAUUUCUUUCUCCCGGUACUGAGUCUAGAGGAUAGUAGGUGAACCCUAUUUUAGAAUAUAUUGAAGGAUGAAACGUAACUCUUUCACGGAAGUGGGGGCUCUCCACUCCUUAAUAGCUCACAACUUAUGUUCGUCCAUUCAAAUCUUUCUACAUUCGAUGAUGUGACCCAGAAAAUUUAUGCUAUUUAGCAAAAACACUUUUCUCUUUCUUGAAAUAUAACUGAUUAUGUUGGAUUUUGUCAAAAGCCAAACUCUUCGACACGCUCUUCCAUUUGUGCGAUAGAACUUGAAGAGCUACUUCCACGUUCAAAACUACCUACUUUGGUGGUUUUAUGUUCUAACGAAUCAACCCUCAGCGCCAAUUCAUUUAUGGGUAGUUUGUCUAUUUAGGCAUUCAAUGCGUCUAUUUCUCUGACUUUUUCUUUAAACAUCUCAAGCCGGGUCUGGAGAAAUCUUACUUCUUUUGGCAAUUCUUUCAUAUCCAAGAAUUCCUCUUCAAUCUCAGUCAGUCGCUUAGAUUGCAACUUUGAUAGUUGUUUCAUUGUCGACAUAAUUGCAUCUCGCUUAGCCAAGGAGCUAACAAAGCUUUAAUACCACUUGUCACAAAAUGCAACUUUUCAAAUACGGGACGGGCGAUUGUGCAACACUUGUUCUAAAUUGAUGAACAAGGCAACCUUGUGAAAUUUGAAAGUUGCGGACAAACUUGUGAAAUUGGUUUUAUAAAACGUGAGAGAUAAAGAAAAACAUUGAUAACAUCCUUAAAGAAAAAAUUGAAUAUUGUCAAUUGCAAAGAAAGCUUAGAUUUGCAAAAAUCACAAUAGGCCUUAGUUGGGGAUUCAACUACCAUGCCUCCCCUACAAUACAUCUUAAACUUUUUUAGCUUUGACAACCUUGCAUAUGAAAAUUGCGAAACGACGCACCUUAGGUCGGUGACAACAAAAGGAAAGCAGUUGACUAAACUAAGUACAAAGCAUAAAGAUAAAGUGGUUUGAGGAUAUUCGAGCAUGCGGCCAUAGGCAAAUAAUGCCUUGGACAAGCCCACUUGUGACACUCUGCGUGCCACAAUCGAAAUCUUUCAAACAUGGAAUGGACAAUUGAAGAACACUUGUUUUGCUCAGUCAAUAAGUCAGUCAUGUAAAAUUCGAAAAUCACGAACAAACUCACGAUAUGAUAUAACCUCCCUUCCCGUUCUUGAAAAAAUUGUUUUAUAAAAUGUGAGAGAGAAUAUCAUUAAAAACAUCAUUAAAGAAAGCGUUGAAGACUUUCAAUUGCAAAUAAAAAUUUGAUUAUAAAGAAUACGAUAAGACAUGGUUGGGGAUUCAACUAUUGGGUCUCUCCUAUAGUACAGUUUAGACUUUUUGAGCUUUGACAGGUUUGCAAAUGACAGGUUUAAGAUUAUAGUAUCAAUAACGACUUUAUUGAAUAGAUUAUGAUUACAACGAGUUUUAGGACAUAAAUUACAACAUCUAGUUCUUACAACUUUUGAUUCUAGAGUGUCAACUCUUGUCAACAACUCUUAAAUGGGUAAUCCAUCGAGAUGAUCGAUCAUUGCAGCAAUAGUGUUAGUGAUAUAUAUUAAACCACCAACUGUACCUCUGUAAUUAUCAUAAAAAUAAUAAAACUACAAACACAAUGCUUUUCUUUCGAUUCUUGCGUUUUCACGUAAGCUUUGGUUUCGUAUAUAUUGCUUUCAAUAUGGUAUUAGAGCUCAUUAAGCCUAAACGGAUAUUUGGUUCAAGAUAGGUGAAACCAAAGAGGCACCAUCUUGAAGGGGCAUGUUCCCACAAUUGAAAAACCAAGGAAACUUAGACUCCUUAUAAAAUAGAUGAGCUACUCCUCUCAUUGCCAAUUGGUAUUGUGAUGAAACCUCAUACUUUGGUAAUAUAUAAUUAAAUUUACCUUCAAUCACUAGCUUAAGCUUUUGGGUGAAUUUGGGGUUUAAUAUGGUAUUAGAGCAGGUGGUCCAAAAGGUCCUAUGUUCAAGUCCCUGUAUUGGUGUUUCCUUCCCAAUUAAAAUUGAUUUUCACUUGUUGGACCUUUUAGAUAUUUCGAACCCAUAAGUGGGGGAUUGUUAGUGAUAUAUAAUUAAAUUUACUUUUAAUCACUAGCUUAAGAUUUUGGGUGGUGGUUUAAUUAAUAGCAUCAGCUUUCUAAAAAAUUUCUUCAAGGCGGGUUUCCAAGAAGCGAAUUGAGUUAGGAACUUUCAUUAGGUAGAGCAUUUGAUCUUCAACCUUUACCAGUCGGUCCACAUGGGCCUUGCCCGACUAUUUUGUUAUGGACAUGUUUACAUUUUAACCGUUAAUAAGCCAACUUAGGCUAUCACACCCCACCACGAGCACCUACUUGCGUGGCUCGAGAUAUGGCGUGAAGCCAAUCGAUAGCACCCACGUCAAGAACGACACCAUCUGACCCUUAGCCUGAACCUUUAAACUCUAAAUAACAGCGGAAACAUAACACAUAAAUUUUACUAAAACCAAUUGGGCUAAACCUUUUUCAUUUAACAACCUUAGACAAGUUUUACAUAGACAAAACGUAAUCUUAUUUAUCUAGAACAAAACCUUAUAAAACCUUCCAAAAGCCUAAGUCUGAUAGCACAAAAGACUCUAAUUUAUCAUUAGUGCAAAAUAACAGGGCACAUAAUAACAAAAUGAAAUCCUUUAGUAGACAGGUAGCAGCAAGUUAGGCUUAGAGGACACGAUCUCUACCUAGAAAGUGGGAAAACAUUUUGAAUAUUAUGCAUUUUGAAGAGUAAACAAUAUGCUUGAAUAAAUACCUUUAAACAAUAACACGCUUGAAAGACUUUUUAUAACAUAACUUAAACAUUUUAUCAUAAAUCCGUCAUAAAUCAUGACUUAAGAACAUGCUUGAAAUCACUUUAAAUAAAACAUUUUCCACUCACAGAUACAAGCUCAAAUCCUUGGUUUAUAAAUUUGUACGAUCUUCUCAUGUCCUGAAAUAAUGGUAAAAUAGUACAAUUAAUUAUCUUUUGCCAAGAAAAUAUCAAAAGUAUACUUAAAAAACUCAAAAAAUUACCAAAAAUAGCUCAACACGCAAUAUGACAUUGCCUGGCACGAAUGGGUGGGCGGCAGGGCCUUGGUGGGCGCUGGCUACUGUGUGUGAAUCUCACAAGAGGCUUUUCACACGCGUUGGGCAUGCCUGCGUGCUAACCUCACACACAAGCACAUUGUGAACCUCACUUGGUUGCGUGCUUGGCAUUUUGUGUAGCCCUCCUCGUGUGCAUUCUUGGCUAGUGCAUUUCUUGUGUCACAAUCGCGAGCUUUCAAACACGAGAGGAGCGAUUAUGUUGCACUUGUUUUACGUAGACAACAAGUUAGCUGAUCAAAAUCCAAAAACACGGACAAACACAUGAUACGAUGUAGCCUCUCUUCACGUUCUUGAGAAAAUGUUUUAUAAAACGUGAGGAGAAAGAAAUUCAAUGAAAAUAUCGUUAAAGCAAGCAUUGAAGACUGUCAAUUGCAAAGAAAAACUUUGAUUGCGAAGAGUGCAACAAGGCUUGGGCAGGGACUCAACUACUAUGUCCCAUCUAUAGUACAUUUUAGACUUUUUUAGUUCUGGUAGGCUUGCAUAAGAAAAAGCCAAGUCACACCCAAGGUUUAUGAAAUAAAAAGGAAAGCAAAAAGUAAAACUAAAUACAAAACAUUAAAACAAUGUAAAUUGGGGGUGUUUGGGCAUGCGGCCAUAAGCAAACAGCGCCCUGGACAAGCAUGCUUGUUACAUUCCCCCACUUAAACAAUUGACGUCCCUGUCGACUGGCGAAGCUAGAAUUCCUCGAUCUUCUUAUUUCACGCUUCAAGGUCUUCAGCACAUUCCUAACGUGUUUCUUCCACAUGGAGGUUCUUUCACUUCAGUAGGAAUUCAUGUAUCCUCUUCAUGGGUAUACCUUCCUCACUCUCACUCGGAAGGAUUUCUUCCAUUUCUUUAUCGUCUUUCUGCUUUAGGUCACUAGAUGACCAUACACCAUUGUUGCACUACUGGUCAUCUGGAUAUUGAUGGUAAGGUUUCAAGUUGCUCACAUGAGCUACUAGAUGAUUUUUUAUCCAUGCAGGCAACGAUACCCCAUAGGAUGCAUUUCCAAUUUUCUUCAGAACUUCAACAGGCCCUUCGUAUUUUCUAGUGAGAUGCUGAUGUUGAUGUCCUCUAAAUCAAAUUUUCUUUGCUUUAAACUCUAUGAAGAGUUGGUCUUCAGCUCAAAACUUGAGAGGAUGAUGCUUCUUAUCAUACGCUUCGAGACUUUCUCUUAGUAUGCUCGAGUGAUGUUCGUAGUCUUCUCCCACUUUUUCGUAAAGUUAUGAGCUUGAGGAUUUUUUCCUGCAUAAGGAUGAUCAACAAUAUGAGGCAGUAUAGGUUGUCUUCCACUCAAGAUUUCGAAAGGACUUCGUUCUUGUGGAUAGACUAGUUUGUGCAUUAAAACAAAAUUGAGCCACAUCCAUCAACUAGGCCCAAUUCUUUUGUCCAAAAUCAACAAAAUGUCGUAGAUAUUCCUUAAGCAUACAAUUGAAUCCUUCAGUUUGGCCAUUCGUCUGAGGAUGGCAGCUUAAGGAUAUAUUUAGGCGUGUCCCCAAGAAGGCGAAUAGUUCGGUCCGGAGAGUACCAAUGAAUCUACCAUCCCUGUCACUCACAAUGCUUGAUGGAACUCCCCAUCACUUCAAGACAUUCUUAAAGAACAAGUGUGCUAUCAGCUCGACAGAACAUAGUUUUGUAUGGGGAUGAAGGUGGCGUACUUCGAGAACCAAUUGAUUAUAACCUUUGGGAUGUGUAAUAAAAUCCAUGGAUUUCGCACAUUCAGGGAAUUUCAAUGUGUUCGACUGACUUUCCAAAGUUACUUUCUCUACUAAAGCCUGAAGCCCCGUAUGCUGCAAGAAUCAGUGUUGCCAAUCGAGGUUGCAACGUUUCAAAUUCAACUGAUCAGCAUACCAUUCAAAAUUUGAAUUUUCAACAUGACGAGUUUGUAACUUUAGUGCCCCUUGGAGAAGAAAAUGAAAUUCAGGGUAUAUGUAAUUCAGGUUUUGUUCCACAAGAUAGUACAAUUUAAAUUAUUCUCCAUAUGUUGCUUAAUUAUCUCAUAACUUUGUUUAUUUAAACCAGGAUGCAGUGCAUGAUAGCAACGGUCGGUUUCUUUUGCAGAAAUAGAGAACAACACGACAGCUAGUAUUGUAGAAUUAUCCAAUACUCUUGGUAAUUUGGAUGAGACACAUUGUUCUUGCUCUAAACAUAGCGCAAAGAGAGUUUGGGAAGCAUCACUUUCUUCCUUGAAGUCAAAGAAAGUAAAAGGAGUCAAUCUGGACCAUUUUCAUUCUCACUCUAACAAAAAUCUUGAUCCUGAAAGUGAUGUAUACGAUACCUGCUCUCAAGGAUGCUCUUUAGCCAAUUCAAAGCAUGAGAUUUUAUCAAGUAUUUAUCCUAAAAAUCCAACCAAUCAGUGUACACAAAAUUUCUGUCAAGAAUUUGGAAGUGUAAAUGUGGCAUCAGAGGACCUCAAUUCUGAAGAGAACACAUUAGGAAAACCAUUUAAAAUUAUGCUGAUGAACAUUGCAGACGAAACUAAGAAAACUCAGCUCAUGAAGGUACGGUACCAAUUUAUAGUCUUCUAAAAUAUUCAUCAUUCAUGUUUCUUUUAUGAGAUUUUCUAUUGAUAGUAUUGAAGUUUUAUAUCCUUGGCUUAGUAUUCUUUAAAGGGGUGUUUGGCACAAGGAGUGGUCCAAGAAGUUGUGAAAUCUAGAAAGUUUUGAACUCUUAGGGCCUAGGACAUACGAAGUCAAUAAGGCAUAAAAUUGAAAUUUUCUUGUCGGGAGUCCACAAACACUUUUGGCCAAACAAAGAGCGGAAAACUCCACACUUCCCUAAUCCUACUCUUCCAGCUCCUUGGCUCAUACAGCCUCUACGAUCUCUACAUACUGAUAGGCCCAUGGUAGUGAAGGUGUACACCCGUAGGCACAAGAAAGGAUUCAGGAGAGGAGGAUGGGAAGCUGUUUUGUUGGUCUGAAUGCUGCUAGUUAAGGGGGCCAUGAGUCUUUUAUGCUUUCAUAUAAAUACUAUUAUGAUUGUUUGGGGAGGGUAUGUUUUGGCAUAGCUUGUAUCAGGUUUCUUAGAAUAAUUGGGAGAGCUAGAGAAGCUUCUGAUUCCUUCCCUCCAUUAUUGAUAAAUAAAAUUGAGGUUAAGGCUUAUCAUAUACAUACCCAGUCAUUGAACUUCUCCAUAUUCCUUAAGAGGCAUAUCUUGCUUGGCUUAUUUGGCUGGCUCUACUCAUGUAGGAUUUCGAAAGGCGAAUCUGACAUCCUGCCAAAAAUGAUUAAUCAGUUUCUUUAACUGUUAUUAGGUCUUUAACAUGAAGUUUAGGGAUUCAAUCUUUAUAUUAUUUUUAAGAGUUAUUCAAUAUCCCUACCUAGAAUAGACAAAUGAAGCUUGAAACUACCUAUAAUAUUAAUGUUGUUGUUUAAUUAUGACAUUUUGUUAUCGGUCUUUCUAACUUACGAAUAUCCAUCUUCUGAUAUGUGUUCACAUGCAUAUUUUAUGGAUGUAGAUUUUAUAGUAUUUCUUUAUUUAUUUUAUAUGGCAUUAGCUGUAUACUUUUUUAUAAAAUAUUAAUAUAAAUAUUAAACCACCGAUUCACCAAAAAUUUUAAGCUGAUGGUUGAAAGAAAAUUCAAUUAUAGCCUUAAGCUUAAGCUACUUUGGUGGACUAGAAAGUAUAAUCUUAGAAACACUCAAUCUGAUCAAGUUCUCUGAAGCAAGAAUUAAAGUUCGGAAAAAUCUUUGCGGAUUCUUACCAGCAACUAUAGAAUUAAAGAGUGAGAACUGAGGAAAUUUUUCCCUUAAUUUUGGGGAUUUUGAACCCUUAGAAGCUCCUGUAAUAAUCCAAUAUGAUCUAUUUCAAAGUGAUUUUUCCAAUCCUAUUGAUUUAUGUAGAAUAAAUUCAGUGAUUUUAGAUGAAGGGCUCCAAAGUGAUGGUCUCCCAGAUACCUUAAUUUUCUCAAACAGAAUGGCUUAUCCAUCUCAAGAAAUCCUUUCGAAGCACUUAGGAAGUUGGGUGAUGAAGAAGAAAACCUUGUUCGACCGGAAAGAGUUUCAGCCCUUGAAUCCUCGCCGAAAAAAAUAAUUUUCAGAAGGCAAAAUUCAAAUUUGGGUAUAGCUGGCAUCUCCAUGUACUUAGAAGGGGAAAAGACUUCAACAGAAAAGAGAGAAAAACAGACCUCGAAAGAAGAAAAGGCAGCCAGUCGGCAUUUUAUUAUCUCAAAAAACAGCUCACCUAGCCCUCCCCAACCAAAUUUUUUCAAACUUAAUGUAUUUGCAGACAUUUUUAAAGCUGACACACAGAUGGUAGGCCCCAAGAAUUCUAUUAAACAGAAUUCCAAUGGCUUUUGGUAUUCUGACGAAUUGGAGGAAGAAUCAGAGUCCUCUCCUCCAUCAAGGAACUUCACUUGCGGGCCAUCUCCUGUUUUCAGUUCUCAACCAAAAUUACCAGCCUCUCCCAAGACUAAAAUAUCCUCUACAAUGAAAGCUAUUCCAUUUCAUGCCAUAAAUUUUUCUAAGCACCUCAAGACCUAUACCAAAGGGAGAACUUUUCGCAACAUUUGGAUGAGCUUAACUAAUUCUGAUUUAUUAGAGGAAAGUUGUGUGAAGAUACAAAUUCAAAAUUCAGUUGGCAAAAGGUCAGUACUGCCUUCCUCCUUAAGUAAUAAAUUUUCUCAAUCCUCCUCCAAACUUUCUGGUUCAUUCUUUAAUUUUGUGCAAGAUACUUCUUAUCUAAAAAAAGUUGAGAACCUAGAAGAUGAAUUCAAGGAAGUUGAAUCAGUCACCAGUGUAAGUAGUGCAGAAUUUGAACCAGUUGAGGAAGAAAUAAUUCAAUCAGAGACAGAGAAACAAGAGGACAGUGACUCUCUCGGUCCAGAUUUUAUUAAAUUGUUUUCCUCCCCAUAAAAAGAAAUUUUGUGCAGGUCAGCAAGUAUCCUUCCCCCUCAAGAGUUGGUUCCUUUCUUGGCAGCAUGUGAAAUUGAAUUGAUAUAAGGGCAGAGGUAGCAAAGAUGGAGAUUAUAUCAUGGAACACUAGAGGAUUCAUGGGCCAUUCGAAACAAUUGGCUAUUAAAAAUCUUUUGAAGAAAGCUAAUCCAGAUAGAGCAUUGAUUCGGAGACCAAAAGAGAAGAGAUUGCCAGUUGUAUUAUAAAGGCACUAUGGAUAAAUAUAAGUUGUCGAUUAUUGAAGUUCGGUCAAGAGAAGGAAGGUCAUUACAGUGUGGCUUAUAAGUUGUUUCAACAUUAAUUUAUAAGUUGUUUGGAAAGGUUCUCGCAGAAAGAUUAAAGAAAGUCAGGCCAGGUAUUACUUUGUAAGACCUCCUAUUAUCUAUACCUAUAAAAGGAAGGGUAGAAAGGGAAAUUCCUUAGCAACCAAUUAUGAGAGAAUAAUGGGAGAGGAUCGUGUAGGUGGGGCCCGCCAGGAGGGAAGAGAGAGAGAGGUAUAAAUAUGUAAUGUUGGGGUAGGGGAGGCUAGGUCUUUUUUUGUUAUUUCAAGGAGAGUAAAGGUUGUUGUAGCCUGAGGGUAUCCAGCCCCGUAUAAAGGAGUUGGGUAAGUUUUCUAUGUUGUUCUUCCUUUAUUUUUCAUAUCUACUACUGUUGAAUGUGUUUUGGCUUUUACAUAAAUAAAGAAUUACAGAGUGCUGCCUCUGUUUAGCCAUUUGGUUAGGAUAUUUUGUGUUUUAUUGUUAGAAUCUAACAUACUUCUCCAUUACAAUGUGGCUUUCUGGAAGAGUGCCAAAUCUUGGAUCCUAUUUUAAUAGCAAAAGAAACUGUGGAGGUCUAUAGUAUCCGAAAAAAGAAAAGAUGGAUCAUUAAAUUAGACCUUGAAAAGGCCUUUAACAGAGUGGAUUGGAAAUUUUAGAAAAUGUAAUGCAAAAGAAGAUCUUCGACGUAGGAUAUUGUGUUAUAUUGGCCAGCCUUUACAGCAUCCCACUUUGAAGUCUUUGAUGAUCAGGACUUUCGGAUCAGCCCUCUGCUUCAAACAGUUUUUGCUCAACCAAUCAAGGCUUAUUCUUCUUUGUUCUCAGCAUGCUGCCUUUGAUUAUGAUUUUGCUUUGGAAAGAUUCUUUUAUCAUUUUUUGUCUCUGUUUUUGUGGCUUUUUGUUUUGAUCUUGUGUUGUCGCUUUUUGGAUUUUUGAGGGCACUAAGGGGGUGUCAACCUAGUUUGAGAUGCCCGGAUGCGCCUGUUGAUCUUCCCUCUCCCUUUUUGCUCUUUGUAUAAUCCUCAUGUACAUUGAGCUUUGUCUCUUUCUUUAUAUUAAUAAUAGUGAGACUCGUAUCCUUUUUUAAAAAAAGAAAGAAAAUUCAAUUAUAUAUCACCAACACUCUCCUCACUUGUGGGCUUGAAAUAUUUGAAAGGCCCAACAACUGGAAAUGGAUUUUAAUUGGGGAGGAAACGACAAUGCGAGGCUUGAACACAAGACCUUCUUGGACCACCUGCUCGGAUACCAUAUUGAAAGGGAGACAAACAAACACACAACUUUACGUGGAAACCUGUGUACCAGGAGAAAAACCACUAUAUUUUUUUCUUAUUAUUUUCUGAUGAAAAAUACAAUAGGUACAAGGGAGAAUAUACAGAGGAAUAAAAAAGGAAAAUAUUUAGGAAUUAAGAAAAAUAUUCCCAUAAACUUUUCAUAAAUAUUCUAAGAUUCUAACAAUAAAAGUUCUAUUUAUUCCAAAUUGUGACUGCUCUAAUGUGCAGUUGUUUUCUAAUUCAGAUGAUUGAGGAGCUUGGUGGUUCUCUCACUGCUGAUGGGAGUACAAGCACUCAUGUCAUUACAGGAAAAGUGGAAAACUCUAAAUUUUUGUAUUGCUCUCUUUUUCAGGGUUAGUCUUGCAGCCUUAGACGAACACUCUUCUAUGUGUCCUUUUGGCCUUUGAAUACCGAUAAUUAUCUUUUGCACAAAAGUUAGCGAUUCCAUGCACACAAGGCCUUUGCCGUUAUUCUUCCAUUGCCUCGUAGUUGUGCUUAGGCUGGAAUUGUUGUGAACCUUCUAGAUCUAAAAGGGUAUAGUUUCUUAUUCUACUGCCUGUUUACUUUUAGUUAAACAUCAAAAUCAAUUCUUAUGUUUGAGUUGCAUUGUAUCAUCUCUUCCUUUUCAGUUGUUUCUAUCGUGAUGGUGGGUAGUGGUUGUUAAGACAACCAUUAGGCUAAUUUGGGUUUCAGGCUUACUUUUCCAUUUUACGUGUAAAAUGGCUCAAGCUCACUAAUGAAAGAUAUUUGUUGGCUAGCUAGUGUUUUUAUCCUCGAUUUCCUUCUUCCCUAAUACAUUAUGUUAUGGAAUUUGUUAGAUACCUAGAUUAGUAUAGGGUUGGGUAUAAGGGUAAUUAGAUAUUUAGAAAGUUACUAGUAGUUAUUGUGUAAGUGUGGUUACUAGUAGUUAUUAUGUAAGUGUGGUAACUAGGGUGGUUACAUGUUAUUAUAAAUGGAGGGAGGGUAAGUGGGAGAAUUCUGGGGAGUGAUAUAAGGCUUGGGUGAGAGUACUCAAGAGGGAGGGUUCCAAGUGCUUUAUACUUGGUUUUAUCUUGUAUUUUCUUAUAGUUACAUUAUAAUAAAUUCAGAUCUUGUUUGUUAGGAAGUAUAUGUCUCCAAUAUUAUUUAAAUACAGUAGAAGAAUUAAAAAGGGUAAUAUUGACCCACACGAGAAUAUAGGAGAGAUUAUAGGAGGAGAGAAUAUCGGAGGAGAUCUUUCCCAUUAGUUUGUUAGUAAAGCAAAAUAAAAGGGAGGAAAGAGGAGGGAGAAAGGGACAAAAUAUUCCAAAGAAGUAGAGGCUGCGUCUUUCGUGCUUGGGAGAAGUAGAGGUCCAAGUCAAGUUCUUUUAUUAUUUGUUUUGGUCAUUUUCAUGGUUUGCGGUUUGUUCUUUGUUGUGAUCCUCACUGGAGUGUGCCUUUAGGAAGUAGAUGUGAGUGAUUUUUAUUCUCUAUACUAUAAUUCAUUGAGGUAAUUCAAUAAAGUAAGAUACACUUGCCGUAUAUUUACAGUAUCUUAACAAUUUGGUAUCAGAGCGUUUUUACUUGGGAGAACGAUAGAGCAGCACAAAAACGGAUCGAAGAGAAGUUGGAGACCUAUGAUAAGGAAAUCUCGGGGAUACAAGUGGAGUUACACAAGUUGUUGGCAAUUGAAGAAAACUUGUCAUGCUUGCCAAAAAGCAUCGAAAGACUGGUCAUCUAGUUGGAAAAACAAGAACGGUUGCUAAAUGCAUCGAAGGAAUAGCAGAAGGAUAAUUCGACAAUCUCCAGAAGAAUGGAAGGAUCGUCGAGCAAAGGAUCAACGAUUGAGAGUAUCAUCGAAGGUGGAGGUAAGACAUUGAAGGAAAUCAAGGUAGAAGGUAAAACAAACAAGUUUGAAAGGGAUGAAAACUCGAACGAUCAUAGCAAAUUCAAGAAGGUUGAAAUGCCUGUGUUCAGUGGCACUGAUCUGGAUUGUGUUUAUUUAGAACGGAUUGGAAUCUUCAGGUCCAUAAAUCGAUGGAUUCCAAGAAGUUGCUGAAUCCAUAGAAGAAUCGAGGAAAACGCGAUUGCAACGGGUAUACAACGAAGGUGAAGAGGAUGGCAAAGAGUGACCAAGAAGAAACUAUAGAGGAAGGUCGACGAGGAUUACCUGUGAGGCUCGAAAUGAAGACUCGAGUGAAGAAAAACUUGUUGCUCAAAGAAACACAAAAUGGCUGGUUGCAAUGGAGAAAGAAGAAGCCGACAGUUACCGGUCUAUAGAGGCUCGAGAAGGUGGUCUGGAAUAGGGGUGAAUCACGUGACGAGGAAGAAGUUGCUGCACACCUGAUGGUGCCAAUCACGUGGUAGAAAUUUGUAGGAAAGAGGAUUAGGACAAAAGGAACAAUCUUGGGUUUUACUAUUUCAAGUGGGCUUCAACUUACUCUAAAUGAGCUUCAACUUAUUCUAAAUAAAACAUUGGGGGCACAUCAUUUUGUAGAUGAAGUGGAUGGAGAGUUCCAAAAAUAGGAGGGAAGAAAAACGUGUAUGUAGGUGGGUCCUAGGAAUGAAACCGGCGACAGUAUGAUUUUGGUCUUGACGCAACACUUUGAUUAUGGCCUAGCCCACUAGAGAUGAAGAGUUUGAAAAUUAAACACUUGUUGGUGAUAUGCAAAGGGUUAACUAAGACAAUGUGUUUUGGAAAAGGAAAAUUCAAGUACAUUGGGCUGCUUUUGGGCUGAAGUCAAUGGACCUUAUUGGAAUCGAGAGUUUUUCAAAGCCGAAGGGGAGGAUUUCUUUUUCAACAUUGAAGAGCAGAAUGUUGGGGAUUGUUUGCAAUUAAAAAGAGAAAAAAAGAAAAGGGGGCCUUGAUCAUGUUUGUAAGCUCACCUUGAGGACAAGGUGUUUUGAAGGAUCGGGUAAUGUUAGAUACCUAGAUUAGUAUAAGGUUAGGGUAUAAGGGUAAUUAGAUAUUUAGAAAGUUACUAGUAGUUAUUAUGUAAGUGUAGUUACAUCUUAUUAUAAAUGGAGGGAGGGUAAGUAAGGGGAGAAUUCUGGGGAGUGAUUUAGGGCUUGGGUGAGAGUACUCAAGAGGGAGGUUCCAAGUGCCUUAUACUUGGUUUUAUCUUGUAUUUUCUUAUAGUUCAUUAUAAUAAAUUAAGAUCUUGUUCUUGUUAGGAAGUAUCCUAACAGAAUUCCUCUAGAAGGUCUCAUGUUAGCGAAUGAUAAUUUGCGUUAAGUGUGUACUUGUAGGAGUUCUUCUCCCGGGCAUCUAUGGUUGAUAUUCUUUACCUUUCAAUAUAUCAAAGCCAAGGAUUCUUUUGCAUUUCUCUAUGCUUUUUCUUUACCCAUUUAUGCUUUUUUCAGUUAUAUUUGAGAGUAGUAUUUCAUUUCUUUCAUGUGAAAUGUUGAACUUCAGUAGUGUGGAGAGUGGAACGUAAUAUCUUACCUUUUAUAUUAGUAAACUUGAUUUUAAGCAAUGUGUUUUUGAAGAUUUUAUGUUGUAGAAUGUUUUUUGUUCUUCAAGCUACUGUUCUUAACUUUAUUUUCUCUUGUUAAUGUUCUCAAUGAUUAUCGAGCAUAUGCAUUACCAUGUGGCUUCAAGCGUGUCAGUGUGCUCUUGCUCAUAAUUUUUACUAUAUCUUGUUACUAAAAUUGCAAGUUAAUUGCAAAUUACUCAGAGCUUGGAUUUUCUCCUCCAGUUGGUUAAAGGAAAGCUACGGGAAGGCAAAUUUGUUGGUAAGUUCGAAUGGCUUGCUAGUAUCAAAGUGUAAUGUAUUUUCUUCCACUUAUGUUUUUCAUCCUACCUAAUUUUUGUGAUUGAUUAAUUCCUUAUUGAUCUGCAGACGAGUUGCCUUACAUACUAAUGAUGAUGACUACAUAUCGAAGUAUCGAGCCAGCCUAAAAGCUGCAGGUCUCAGGCAAAAGCAUGUCCUGGAGCUUUAUUUGAAGGGUAUGAUGUUUGCAUAUCAGCUCACGCUCAACCACCACCUAAAACUCUAUCCCUGAUAGUCAAGUCAGCCGGUGGAAAUGUAAGUUCUCUGUUAUUGUACAAAUCUCGAGUACUAGGUUUGGUUCUCUUUCUUACAUAUACAACCACUAUAAUAUGGCUAUCCUCCCAUCUAAUGAAGACGUGAAGUUCUCAACAAACAAGUGAUAGAACUAAGUCAUGCACAGCGGAAAAAGAAUCGAAUUUCUACUCUAAUUGCCACAAUUAACAUGUAACCAUAAACUAAUCAAAUUAGGGUUUUAGGAAAUAUUACCUUUGAAGCUUUCAAAAAGUUUGAUAUCUUCUUACCAAUUCAAACCGAGACCACCACUAGUACUCAACUGCUAUCCUCUAAACAAAGAACCGGGUUGUGGGACCCAAUUUUGGUGUAGAAAGUAAUGGAGAUAAAAGGGGUUAGAAGGUUUCUUUUUUUUCUUUGGUUGAGAUGAUGAAAAUGAUAAAAGAGGCAAAAGUCCUUCAACAUUUGAAAACACCUCUAUUUAUAACCUAAUUACAUGCAAAAAUGCAUGUAAUUCAUUUGUCAAAUCUCAACACCUAAUGUUCCACUAACAAUUAGUGGAACUUAGUGGGCUAGGUGUCUAUAUCUCAUAUAGCCACAUAUCCCACUAAGAGUUAGUGGGAUUAUCCAACAAAAUGUUGGAUUUUCCCACUAACUUAGUCCAAGGGUAAAAUGGUCAUUAGAUAUUUCUAGUCAAAAGUCAAACUUUGACUUUUCUAAGUCAAAAGUCAAUAUUUUGACUUUUUACCAUUUUGUCCGUCUUGACUAAUUCCAACCUCCCGAGCAUGAAUCCGCAUUCAUUUUUCCAAAAUUCAAAUCACAUUUGAAUAUAUGGUCGGUCAAAGUUUGACUUUUCAAAGUCAAAAGUCAACAUUUUAACUUCUUAGUAUGAAUCCGCAUUCAUACUUAUAGUAUGAAAACAUGAAGCUCUUUUUCUAUUUAGAAGACCGACGACUAUAUCACUAUACCUGUCGGUUUCUCUUUCUUCUCCCAAUUCGAACAAUUCGACUUAUUUCAUCACACUGUUCUAAGUUUAAUCCAUAUGAGCUAGCAGAGGAACCUAAUGGACCUAUAGAUCAUGGGCUCCAACGAUUCAAGAUUAACUAGCUAAACUCUUUUAGACAGAGUUAAUCAACAUUCGUUAACUAACGGGUCAUUCACUAAAGUCCCGUAGUUGCACUCCCCUCACUAUAGAUAUAUUUGUGUCCAUUUGAUAAAACCAUAAUUGGUAAGUUAAUCCUUCACAGGUUGCUCGUAACCUUGGCUGGGUUAAAAUACCGUUUUACCCCCAAAAAUUACAUCUUGCUCCUUAAGUCCCACUAAUCCACUAUUGAACAAUUGGUUUAAGGUUCAACCUAUAAACUUAAUCCCUCUCGGGCCAAUGAGAGGGUGGGGCCCCUUGUUCAAGACUUGGAUUCAGUGCUUAAGAGAACAACCUAUCUACUAACCCUAAAGCGGGUAGGAGUGAAUUCCAUCUUGUACCCUAUGUUCCCAGCUAUCCACCCGAUCAUACCCUUGAAAUUGGAGGCUUAUUGGGCCAACGCUGAUGAGCUGCCCUCACCUAUGCAGAUCUAAGGAUAAUCUCGUGUGAACAAGAGUUCAUAGUUAACUCAGGAUUAAGACUAAGUUACCGAGGUCAUCAAUAAUUGAGAUAGUCAGUUUUAAACAGUAAACGGUGUUAUAACGUAAAAAAGACAAAUUCAUGGUUCAGUCUUAUGUAAACACUUUACAUAGGAUGCCCCCACUUUCAUGUCUCUACAUGAACGAUUAGGAUCACCUCGUUUGUACUACAAAGUGGGCCGCAUCCAUAGUUUCUCUAAAUAAGGCGCCCAACCUUUAUUUCAUAUACUAUAGACUAUUUAGGCUAUAUACUCGAACUUGAUCCACGUUUAUGUUUACACAUAAAGUUCAAGUUUAUUCAAAAAUAGCCUUGGAACUUGAUUUAUUGGAUUUAAGAUUAUAAUAUUUAAUUUCUCAAUAACAACUUUAUUGAACAGAAUAUGAUUACAAACUACGAGUUUUAGGACAAAAAUUCCAACAACAAGCACGUAUACGAAUUUUAGACAUGGGUCAAUAAAUCAUAGACAUGGUGACGUGUCAUUUUUUUCUAAAAAAUAUAGGAUAGUGCUAGAACACAGUUUUAAUAUAUAUAAUUUAAAAAGUAUGUCUCAUAUUUAUAUAGAAAUUCAAAGUCAAUAAGUUUAUGUAUUUAUAUGCUUAAAAAUAAGCUUGUCCUUCACUCAAAACUUAUUCAAAGCCAAGAGUUUAAUAUGUGUGUGUGACCAAUCUUGACCUUUAUUGCAUUGGAAUACUUGUUGUCUAACACAUCUACUGUACUAACUAGUGUUCAACACGUGUUCUCCGAGUGUUCCAUACAUAUUGUUUAUUGAUACACUAGCCAAACUUGAGUGUAUGUGCUUCUUAAGUCUUUAAUAUUUAUGUUUGUUUUGAUCCUAGGAAUUGAGCAUGUAAUGUAAAAAGUCUAUGCACAAGGGGUCAUAUGGCCAUCUCCGUGUUUCUUUAAUUAUCAAAUUUGUUCAAGUUUUUAAUUGUCUCUAGAUCGAAAUCUGGAGUUAUUUUUUUGUGAUUUGGUGUACAAAUACAUACAUCCAUGUUUAUAAUUAUGAUUAGAUUGUUUUCUGGUCGCAACAUUUUAUUGUUUAGCUUGUCUUUGAUCUUGAACUUACUAUUAUGUUGAUUUAAAUUCCAUUUUAGCCUUAGAACUUUCAAAACAUCCAUUUUAGUCAUCGAGCUUCCAAAACGUAGCCAACUAACGGUUUUAGUAUUUUGUAAAUUAUUUUAUCAAUUAAUAUUCAUUUAUCCAAUACUCAUCGGUCAUUUCUGCUAUAUGUGAUUGGAAUAUAUCUCAUAGGAAGCAUUUUGAAAGUUGGGAAAAGAUGGAAAAUUUUAGGGACUAGAACAAGAAUUUGUUUAAUAUUUUUUGAUAGGGUGAAUUCUUGCAAUUUCCUUGUAGUAUAUACAUAAUUUUUUUCUCUCACUUGGCAAUUCAUUAUGCUUGAAAAUUUAGGUGAUUCAUGAGCUAGAUAAAGUAAACAACGUAUGGAAGACGAUCUUUGUGGCUUGUGAGGAAGACGUGGAGGAAGCCUUGGUGGCCGUAGAAAAAGGGAUAUGGACUUUCAACGUUGAAUGGCUAAUGGCAUGUAUAAUGAGACAAGAAGUAGACCUGGAGGCCCCUCAAUUUGCUGAGUCCCUAUGAGAAACAAGGUCACCCUAACUUUCAGUUUUGAACAAGCAGCAGCCAGCCAUUUCGUCCUUGUGUAAAUCCACUCUUUUCUCAACUCACUCUAAUUUGGUACAUAAACAAACUCUGAUCGCUCCAUCUCUAUAUUCAUCAGUACAUAAAAGACGAUAAGUUUAUUCAUGGAGAAAGUUGGAUGUAAGUAUGUUUUAGGAAUGGUCCUUCAUUUAGUAACUUUGGGAAUUGUAAAAAUGAGGUAAUGAAGUUCUAUCAAGUUGAAUGUUCUUGUUUAUGUUAGAUGAGACUGAUUCUUGGAUACCAGAAUUAACUUGAAGUACGUGUUUGAGUUCCAUUGGAGUGAUUAGAGAAAAAAAUGUUCCUUUAAAAGGGUAAUUUUUUUAUGUAGACUUUCUUUUAUUAAAAUUGCUUAAAAUACAAUUUGAGAGUAUUUCAAUAGCUUUCAAAGGGUUGUCAAACACUUGUAGUUUUUCUAAAAUAACAUAUUUUCAAAAUUAAUUACUGUAUGUGCAUCCUUCUGGAGCAUUAUACUGAUAUGUGUUUCUGCGGAACACUAGACUGAUUUAUGCGUCCUUUGAGGCGUUAGACUGAUUAUGUGUAUCCUACGGGAUCACAAGACUGUGACUGUGCAGGGUACCCCAAUAGAAAGUUACCAGUUUCUUUUUCCCCUAAUGGGACCAAUAGCGAGUCUCUUAUUGGGUAUGUUUAUACUCAUCCUUUCAUGUUUAACUAUUUCAGGCAAAUGUAACAAAGGAGGUAGACGCGACGGACAAGAAGGAGACGUGAUUGCCAUAAGGAAUGUCCUUCAAAUGCUUCCGCUUUAUGUUUCUUGUUUUCCUUUGUACAUGAGGUUGUUUAAAAAUUUUUGUGAUGGAACUGAGUUUACGAACUGUUGUUUUGUAAAUAGUACUUUUAAAGUUUUGGUUAUUGAAACAAGACCCGAACUUAAGUUUGUUUUCUUUGAUCGUAUGAUUUCAAGUGAAUUUUACUAUAUUUUGUGUCAAUCAAGGUCUCUUUGUCAAAAUUAAUGACUUCAACUUAGUUAGAAAAGUUGGGUCGUUUACAACAAAUUUUAAGUAUUAAUGUAAGAAUUAUGUACUUCAUUAUAAAGAUCGUAGUUUAAAGUUUUUUAUGAUAGUUUACAUGGAAUUACCGAUCAGUUACCACUAUCAAUAGAAUCAGUUACAAAUAUUAACACGAUCGUGUACCGAUAACAAGACGAUUGUUUACACUAUUCAAUACGAUCACCAAUAUGCAUAUGAUCGUGUACCCAUGUCAACACGAUAAUUUAUUUUAAUCAAUAUUAUCAUUUACCGUUGUUAAAUGGUCGUUUAUCACGGUUAAUAGGAUCGUUUAAUGUAUAUUAUUUCAUUGCACGAUCGUUUACUUAUUCUUGCAUUGUGUUUAGUAUUAUCAUUUUGUACAUUUUAUUCUUUUAUUCAGUAAUAAAUGUAUAUCUAUGUCUAUCUAUUUCUUUCUAUCACAAUUAAAUACUUAAUUUUAUUUUAUUUAUUUUUUUUACAGAUUAUAAUGUCUUUUCCUAUUGUUGUUUUUUAUGGAGGUCAAUGGAAUGGAUGUAAUAUUUAUGAGAAUUACUUAGUUGCUGAAAUUUUGGUAGAUAUCCAAGUCAGCUUUAAUUCUCUAAUUGAUUUAAUAUGUGAACAGAUUCAAUUGGAUGGAUAAGUAGAAUUAUCUGUUUUACUUGAUUUUGGUAAAUGCAAGGUCCAACUGUCAGGGUGCCAGUAAAGAAAGACAAUGAUGUGGCUUGGUAUUUAUCUUUUGCUAAAGAUGCAACUAAUAUACAUCCAUUAGUUGCUCAUGUAACUGUUGCAUUUUUUUUAUAGAAGUCUUCUUCUUCUUAGAGAACUACCUGUAGCUACCAUGCUUAGUUCAAUUAGAGAUGUAUUGCCAAAAGUGGUUUGAUGAAAGAAGUAAAGCUACUUUUACAAUGAAGAGUUGUUUGAUUUCUUGGGCUGAGAACGUGUUGCAUUUAGAAUAAUAACAUGAAAAGUCAAGAAUUUAUUGGUAAGGUUUUUUUUUUUUCUUUUAUAUGUUUGUAUCUCAGGUAGAUAUAAAUAGACUGUUAUUUUUGUCCAUCCGAUAGAGAAAUAUAACAAUUUAUGUGUGCUUGUUUCAGAUAGAUAGAGAUAGAUAACUAUCAAUGUCUAUUUGUCUCUAUUUGUGCAUUUUUUUUUUUUUUAAUUUUCUAUAUUUGUUUUAUGUAUUAGGUUGAUCCAAUUAGUAUGACUGAAUAGAAAGUAAUGGAUGAUACAAAAUGAUAAUGUGAUUUAUUUAUAUUGGUUCUAAUUUGAAAUAUUCAAAUUUACCUUGGAAAUUAGUAUAAUUAGUAUAAUAUAUAGUGAUACAUUAUAAUAUAAAGUUUAUAUGUUAAUGAAACUUUAUUAUAUAAAUUUAAUUUUAGAUAAAGUUCAAAAUUAAUUUAUGAGAGAUAAAUAUUUGAAUGAGUUCAAAUACUAAUUUAAUGUGGAUUUGUUUGAUAUUAAAAUUAUUAAUUAUGAGAUAAAGUUAUAUUUGAAUAUGAUUCAAAUUUAACUUAAGUUAAAUAUAAAAUAUUUAAUUUAGUUAUUAAUUAAUUAAUAAUUUAGUUUAAUAUUAUUUAAUUAAAUUAAUAUAAAACUAUAAGGUAUUGGAGAGAUAUUCAUUCAAUAAGAUUUAAAUGAAAUAUUAAUUAAAUAUGAUUUAAUUAAUUAUUAACUAAUUGAUUAAUGGUUAAUUAGUUAGUUGAUUUGAAACUUCUAUUAAUUUAAUAUUUUUUAAGUUAAUAGAAUCCUAUGAUUUUCUCCUACCCCAUCUCCUACUCAAUGAAAGAAAGAUAGUUAUAAAUAUGUAGAAGAAAAACAGCUUUUCUUAACCAAAAUAAAAUCGAUGAUUUUCUUUUCUGCAAAAUAGAUUGUAACGACCUAAUUUUUCGAAUUAAGCUGAAGUUAUUACUUUAAGACUAGAUUCGUCCUUUAACCAUAAGACUUUAUAAUUUAAAAAAAUAUAUUUUUUAACAACAUUAAAGAGUUUUUAUUCUGGCUCUAUUUCAAAUAAAAUUUUGAAAGUGUAAAAGUAUCGAUAAUAAAGAAAGUUCAAGAACAUAAAAAUCGUUCAAUCAUGAAACCUAAAACAGUCUCAAUUACUAAAGAAAACCAAAAAAAAAAAAAAAUAUAUAAAGUAGAAGCAAUUUGAAGGACAUUUCCCUAUGGCAGUUUCGCGGAAAAAGAUUAAACAUAAAGGGUGAGUAUAAACAUACCCAGUAAGAGACCCACUACUGAUCCUGUUAGAAGAAAAAUAAAAUUGUUAACUUCCUAUUGGAGGUGCCCUGCACUUUAAAAGUCUUGUGAUCAUGUAGAAACACAAUAAUCAGUCCAAUGCCCUAAAGGACACAAAUAUUAGUCUAGUGCUCUUCAGAAAGCACAUGUAAGUCUAGUGCUUUCGAAGAAUGCACAUGUCAGUCUAUUGCUCUCGAAGAAUGCACAUGUCAUUCUAGUGCUCUCGAAGAAUGCACAACAGGUGGUGAUCCCGUAGGACACCUGCAAGGCACACUACCCAAUCGACAAAGCUAACAAUUUUCCCUUAGUCCGUUAUAAACAUUUAAUCAAUCCAUUCCUAGUAUAGACCAUACUCCAUCAUAUCAUCAAACCAUCUUAACACACUUACGUUCAAUCUAUUCAAUCUAUCACAAAAUAAGUUGAUACUAUAACAACACACCAGACAGUCAAGAUAUAUAUAUAUACAUAACACCUUUCUCAGUUUACAAAUACAUUAUCCAUCGUAUCUACUUCUAUACCAGUCUGGCAUAAUAUACAUGUAACGACCCAACUUUUCUAGUAAGUCGAAGUCAUUAAUUUCAAAUAAAGACCUGAGUUUACUCAAAAUCUCAAUCUCAAACAAUUUCAAAGUCUCAAGAAAACAAAAAUUUAUAUCUGGGCCCUGUUUAAAAUAACCAACACUUUGAAGAAAAAUUACUAAUUUGUGAGUACAGUUCAACUAUAAAAUUUUCUAAACAAUCUCAAGAACUAAAACAAACACGUGAAACAAAACAUUUAGCAUAAGCAAUUUAAAAUAACCCCUAUGGCAAUCACGCUUCCUUCCUGCCCCUCGCCGAUUUGCCGUCUUUAUUACCUUUGCCUGAAAAUUAAAUAAGGAGGGUGAGUAUAAAAAUACCCAGUAAGAGACCCUCUACUAGUCCCGUCAGGGGAAAAUAAAUUGUUAACAUUCUAUUGGGACACCCUGUACAGUCGCAGUCUUGUGAUCCCGUAGGAUGCACAUUCAGUCUAACGCCCUAAGGGACGUACAUUUCAGUCUAGUGUUUCUGCAGAAACACAUAUCAGUCUAAUGCUCGAAGGUGCAGAAUAAUUGGUGAUCCCGUGGGACACCUACAAGGCACACAUCCCAAUAAAAGCUAACAAUUUUUCCCCUCAGUCCAUUCUAAACAUCUUAACAGUCAUUCACAAAUCAGUUAAACAUUCUCAUCACGUAAACUCCUUAUUUAACCUCAACCAGUCGUCUUACUCUAAUUUAGCCCAAGGUCAGUAAAAAGCAUAUCAUUACAUCAGUUAACAAGCUAAACAAUCAUAACCUCCUCCUCAGUCACCAAGGGCACAACCACGACGUUUCUUCCGUUCACAAGCACACAACAUAACAGUAGAUAUUAUAAUUCAGUCUAGACAACAAUCAAUCUACUAAUCAAAUCCACACUUUAUAUAAGCAACAUCUACGAGAUUCAGUCGUUUCCACAUCCUUAUCCUUGUACACAUACAUAACCAGACAGUCACAACAUAUACUCAACCACAGUCCACAUCAACCCAUGCACAUAUAUGUAUUAAUUUCUCCCAGUCAAACACAGCAAACAUUAAACUUUAAGUCAAUGUCCAAACAUACAUCAUAACAGUCAUCUCUACUCAGUUCAAAUAAUAUAAUACGGUCCAUACAGUCAAUACAUCUUAAUUAGUCAUUAUAUCUUAAUUUUGUUGUUGAGUCCAGUAGAAAAUCCCUUACCUCAAGGUUGCUCAAUUUCUUAAACAAACUAUAUCCCACGAAAGAUACGAAGUAUUGGCGAGCCAAACUCCAAAAUUCACAAUUUCGGUUAUGAACACG
RNAcentral lists this long non-coding RNA (42887 nucleotides) under Cucumis sativus (cucumber). RNAcentral's name for it is "long non-coding RNA (CSAT_LNC002948)". The record is from RNAcentral. Lineage: Eukaryota; Viridiplantae; Streptophyta; Magnoliopsida; Cucurbitales; Cucurbitaceae.